GAGUGACAAAAAUCAUCAAAGUUCAGUGUAACUCCAUAAAGUCCUCAUAUCCUAGAAACUAUUUUAGAUAGAAAAAUCCAGACCUUUUCAGAGAAAUGUACUUUUUAGAUAAAUUAAACUACAUCAAUAGUUUUUUGCAAAAGUCAUACAUGAUUACAGAUUUUGUACUUUGAAUUUUUUGCCCCAUGAAAGCGAAUUAUGGAUGCGAAAACAUAUUACUUGGAUUUGUUUAAAAAACUGCUUAAAAAAUAGAGAUAGAUACUCCACUUUUUGGAAGUCUGUCGAUGAGGCGUAGCUCCUACAAACUUGCAUAGGAACUGGGCAUAGCAACGCCUGACAUUUAUUAGUGGUUGU
This 354-nucleotide long non-coding RNA is filed under the name Androctonus crassicauda. The record is from RNAcentral. Lineage: Eukaryota; Metazoa; Arthropoda; Arachnida; Scorpiones; Buthidae.